RNAcentral lists this ribosomal RNA (497 nucleotides) under uncultured bacterium. RNAcentral's name for it is "partial 16S ribosomal RNA". It matches the Rfam family "Bacterial small subunit ribosomal RNA", at positions 28 to 507 of the family's 1533-position model. The record is from RNAcentral.
GACGAACGCUGGCGGCGUGCCUAAUACAUGCAAGUUGAGCGAUGAAGAUUGGUGCUUGCACCAAUUUGAAGAGCAGCGAACGGGUGAGUAACGCGUGGGGAAUCUGCCUUUGAGCGGGGGACAACAUUUGGAAACGAAUGCUAAUACCGCAUAACAACUUUAAACAUAAGUUUUAAGUUUGAAAGAUGCAAUUGCAUCACUCAAAGAUGAUCCCGCGUUGUAUUAGCUAGUUGGUGAGGUAAAGGCUCACCAAGGCGAUGAUACAUAGCCGACCUGAGAGGGUGAUCGGCCACAUUGGGACUGGGACACGGCCCAAACUCCUACGGGAGGCAGCAGUAGGGAAUCUUCGGCAAUAGACGAAAGUCUGACCGAGCCACGCCGCGGGAGUGAAGAAGGUUUUCGGAUCGUAAAACUCUGUUGGUAGAGAAGAACGUUAGUGGGAGUGGAAAGCUCAUCAAGUGACGGUAACUACCCAGAAAGGGACGGCUAACUACGUG